AACCUGAAACCGUUACGGGGGAAGCGGAUUGCGUUGGAUUGGUGGGCGCUUGUGUGUUCAGCCUUCGGGUGCAUUGGCACAAGUGCUUAUCCGCUGUGAGUUCUCGGGGGUCGAUUUUGGAUUCCUGGGGGCUGAGGGCUCCCCUUCAUGGGUGAGGACAGCGGAGUGACGACGCGAUACGACCCGUCUUGAAACACGGACCAAGGAGUCUAGCGCGGGUGCGAGUCGGAGGGUGCAAGCCCGUGGGCGAAGUGAAAGCGAGUUUAAAAACGAGCAGUUUGGGGCGGCAUAAGAUCGUUGAUCUUAAGACCGACCCAGAGCAGUUGCGCUGGGACCCGAAAGAUGGUGAACUAUGCCGGAGUAGGGCAAAGCCAGAGGAAACUCUGGUGGAGGCUCGUAGCGGUGCUGACGUGCAAAUCGCUCGUCGAACUUGGGUAUAGGGGCGAAAGACUAAUCGAACCAUCUAGUAGCUGGUUCCCUCCGAAGUUUCUCUCAGGAUAGCGGGCCGACAAGUUGUUUUGUGCGGUAAAGCGAAUGAUUAGCGCAAUCGGGGGCGUUUAGCCUUUGGGCGAUUCUCAAACUUUCAAUGCGCAAGGGUGCCGCUGCUUAAUUGAGCGGUACCGGUAAAAACGUCGGCCCUGUGGGCCACUUUUGGUAAGCAGAACUGGCGAUACGGGAUGAACCGUAAGCAAGGUUAAGGCGCCAAACUGCCCGCUUAUAGACCCCACAAAAGGUGUUGAUUCAUCGAGACAGCAGGACGGUGGCCAUGGAAGUCGGAAUCCGCCAAGGAGUGUGUAACAACUCACCUGCCGAAUGAAUUAGCCCUGAAAAUGGAUGGCGCUGAAGCGGGCGGCCGACACCUUGCCGUCUGAACAAGAAUUUCAGAUGAGUAGGAGGACGUGGCGGCCGUGUCGAAGCGCGCGUGCAGACGCGUGUGGAACGGCCGCUAGUGCAGAUCUUGGUGGUAGUAGCAAGUAUUCAAGCGAGAUCCUUGAAGGGCGAAGUGGGGAAGGGUUUCACGCGAACAUUGAUUGGGCGUGAGUGAGUCGUUCCUAAGCCGAGUGGCAAUUGCUAAUUAACGGCGAAAGGGAAGCGGGUUGACAUUCCCGCACACGGAUGUGGAGGCGGCGACGCAUUAUUGGGGCGAACACGCUGGCGAUGGCGCUGGGCA
Molecule: ribosomal RNA, 1171 nt
Filed under: Gymnogongrus sp. FredericqS_19.i.95_1
Lineage: Eukaryota; Rhodophyta; Florideophyceae; Gigartinales; Phyllophoraceae
Description: LSU rRNA
Rfam family: Eukaryotic large subunit ribosomal RNA
Source: RNAcentral